RNAcentral lists this ribosomal RNA (119 nucleotides) under Pteropus alecto (black flying fox). Lineage: Eukaryota; Metazoa; Chordata; Mammalia; Chiroptera; Pteropodidae. The record is from RNAcentral.
GUCUACAGCCAUGCCACCCUGAACAAGCCCAAUCCCGUUUGAUCGUGGACGCUAAGAAAGGUUGGGCCUCGUUAGUACUUGGAUAGGAGACCACCUAGGAAGACCAGGUACUGUAGGCG